UACGUAGGGGGCAAGCGUUGUCCGGAAUCAUUGGGCGUAAAGCGCGUGUAGGCGGCCCGGUAAGUCCGCUGUGAAAGUCGGGGGCUCAACCCUCGAAUGCCGGUGGAUACUGUCGGGCUAGAGUGCGGGAGAGGCGAGUGGAAUUCCUGGUGUAGCGGUGAAAUGCGCAGAUAUCAGGAGGAACACCAAUGGCGAAGGCAGCUCGCUGGGACGGUACUGACGCUGAGGCGCGAAAGCGUGGGGAGCAAACAGG
This 253-nucleotide ribosomal RNA is filed under the name uncultured bacterium. RNAcentral's name for it is "partial 16S ribosomal RNA". It matches the Rfam family "Bacterial small subunit ribosomal RNA", at positions 524 to 776 of the family's 1533-position model. The record is from RNAcentral.